RNAcentral lists this ribosomal RNA (234 nucleotides) under uncultured bacterium. RNAcentral's name for it is "partial 16S ribosomal RNA". It matches the Rfam family "Bacterial small subunit ribosomal RNA", at positions 118 to 347 of the family's 1533-position model. The record is from RNAcentral.
UGAGCAAUCUGCUCUUCUCAUCGGGAUAAGCGUUGGAAACGACGUCUAAUGCCGAAUACGACCUCCUUUCNCAUGAUCGGAGGUGGAAAGCUCCGGCGGAGAAGGAUGAGCUCGCGGCCUAUCAGCUAGUUGGUGUGGGUAAUGGCCCACCAAGGCGACGACGGGUAGCCCGGCCUGAGAGGGUGACCCGGCCACACGUGGGACUGAGACACGGCCCAGACCUCCGUAGGGAGG